UAUCAACAUGUACAAUCACACACACUUUUUGAGGUCUUUUUGGGUUGUAACGGGGCUUUGGUUUAGGUAGGGUAUGAAAUUGGAACAACGGUUUUUGGGUCUUUUGGUUCAGAGUACAUGAAAUCAUUCUCUCACUACGUUUCUUUCCUAUUAUUCCUGUAGGGUUUUGUAAUCCUCUUUUCCUUUUAUCUAUAGUGAAUGUAGCAUUUUUCAAAAGUUGUUCUUUUAUUGUUUUUCGCUUUUCUCUUUCUUUCUUUUCAUGUUGUUGUUGUUUUUUUUUUUUUUUCUUUUUCUCUUCUUUUUUUUUUCUUUUUUUUUUCUUUCUUUUAUACGACAUUCACUUACUAUUCACGUACUGCAAAGCUACCCCAAACUUAAAGGUUGCUAUUCCAACAGCAACCCCAAACUUAGAUAGAAACGUAGAGAUGAAAUCAAUCCUCACAUACUCUGAACA
This 454-nucleotide long non-coding RNA is filed under the name Lathyrus oleraceus (garden pea). RNAcentral's name for it is "Pisum sativum (pea) long non-coding RNA (PSAT_LNC011488)". Lineage: Eukaryota; Viridiplantae; Streptophyta; Magnoliopsida; Fabales; Fabaceae. The record is from RNAcentral.